This 186-nucleotide ribosomal RNA is filed under the name Zygaena ginnereissi. RNAcentral describes it as "Zygaena rubricollis ginnereissi partial 16S ribosomal RNA". Lineage: Eukaryota; Metazoa; Arthropoda; Insecta; Lepidoptera; Zygaenidae. The record is from RNAcentral.
UUAAGAUAAAAAUUAAUUAAUGAAUUUAAUAAUAAAAGAAUUUUUAAUUUAAGUUUAUAAUUAGAUUAGUUUUAGUAUAUUUUAUAGAAAAAAUUUUAAAAUUUAUAGUUAAUAAGUACUGUAAAAGAAAUUUGAAAUAAUUGAAAAUUUAUUUUUAUAAAAGUAAAUUUAAUUUAUUGUAUCUUG